AUGAGUAUCCUCAGUUGGAAUUGCCGGGGGCAUGUGAACCCCGAGGCAAUUCGAGAGCUUCGCAAUGUGGUGAAGCAAGAAGGGCCCAUCCUCGUCUUUGUCAUGGAAACAAAGAUGAGUGCUACAAGGGUGGAAAACCUGAAGUUCAGUUUAGGUUUUGAUGGAUGCUUUGCGGUGGACAGUGUGGGGUUGAGCGGAGGCAUCGGACUUUUU
Molecule: ribosomal RNA, 213 nt
Filed under: Triticum aestivum (bread wheat)
Lineage: Eukaryota; Viridiplantae; Streptophyta; Magnoliopsida; Poales; Poaceae
Description: partial small subunit ribosomal RNA
Source: RNAcentral